GACGAACGCUGGCGGCGUGCUUAACACAUGCAAGUCGAACGGAAAGGCCCUGCUUGCAGGGCACUCGAGUGGCGAACGGGUGAGUAACACGUGGGUGAUCUGCCCUGCACUUCGGGAUAAGCCUGGGAAACUGGGUCUAAUACCGGAUAGGAGCCAUUUUUAGUGUGAUGGUUGGAAAGUUUUUUCGGUGUAGGAUGAGCUCGCGGCCUAUCAGCUUGUUGGUGGGGUAAUGGCCUACCAAGGCGGCGACGGGUAGCCGGCCUGAGAGGGUGGACGGCCACAUUGGGACUGAGAUACGGCCCAGACUCCUACGGGAGGCAGCAGUGGGGAAUAUUGCACAAUGGGCGCAAGCCUGAUGCAGCGACGCCGCGUGGGGGAUGACGGCCUUCGGGUUGUAAACUCCUUUCGCUAGGGACGAAGCUUUUUGUGACGGUACCUAGAGAAGAAGCACCGGCUAACUACGUG
RNAcentral lists this ribosomal RNA (465 nucleotides) under uncultured bacterium. Its description in RNAcentral is "partial 16S ribosomal RNA". It matches the Rfam family "Bacterial small subunit ribosomal RNA", at positions 28 to 507 of the family's 1533-position model. The record is from RNAcentral.